UACGGAGGGUGCAAGCGUUAAUCGGAAUUACUGGGCGUAAAGCGUGCGCAGGCGGUUUGUUAAGUCUGCUGUGAAAUCCCCGAGCCCAACUUGGGAAUUGCAGUGGAUACUGGCAAGCUGGAGUACGGUAGAGGAAGGUGGAAUUCCCGGUGUAGCAGUGAAAUGCGUAGAGAUCGGGAGGAACACCAGUGGCGAAGGCGGCCUUCUGGACCAGUACUGACGCUCAUGCACGAAAGCGUGGGGAGCAAACAGG
RNAcentral lists this ribosomal RNA (253 nucleotides) under uncultured bacterium. RNAcentral describes it as "partial 16S ribosomal RNA". It matches the Rfam family "Bacterial small subunit ribosomal RNA", at positions 524 to 776 of the family's 1533-position model. The record is from RNAcentral.